This is a non-coding RNA of Populus trichocarpa (black cottonwood), 155 nucleotides long. The record is from Rfam. Lineage: Eukaryota; Viridiplantae; Streptophyta; Magnoliopsida; Malpighiales; Salicaceae.
UCUAGAACUCAAGAUAUAAGUUGAAAAUCAAACAGUGUCUGAGCUGCAGGACAGGUUCUGACUUCUCCGUUGUUGCUAAGAUUUGAACUUGAAAAUGGUAGAAUUGAGUCUUGGACUCUCAUGAAAGUUUUAGGUCUAUGUCUUAUUUUUCCAUC